AAUGGGGAAGGAAAAAAAAAAUAUUAGAAAUAACCACAUAAAAACAAAGUGAAGGGACUUUGGUUUCUGGCAAGCUUGAAACCUAAAAAGUGUGGAAAAUUUUCCAGUACAAAGCAGUUAGAAAAGCUGGAUAUAAGAUAUAAACUUCCUUUUAAAUGUAUUACUGACCUUGUUAGAGAGUAAGAGGCCCCUCGGGAUGAAAAUAAAGAGAAAACUUAAAUCCAGAGCAGUAAGCUGAUACUGAUAUUGCAGCUGCCCUGGGGCAUUUGUCAGUCUCACUAACCAAGAGGCUUGAGUUUUCACAGCUGGAUCACUGCUGGAGACAGGACCUUGGGCCUUGCCAAGAGGGGAUUUAGGAUUCAAACUACCGUAUUAAACCUAGAACUUUGGGUGGGUUGCAUUUUCAGUAAAAGGGUGAAAUAGAAAAUAUCCCCUCAUCAGCAAAGGGAGAUGACAAGAAAAUUUGUCCUGGCGGAACAAACAGUUCUUCUCCAGAGGGAUGUGCUUGAUGUAGGCCUUAGUUCUUCCCAUGGAUAAAAUUUCCUCGUACAUGAGUUCACAGCCCCAUGUGAUAAGUAAUCAUGAGCUGGAGUUAAGCUGAAAUAAUAACUUGAAUUAGUUCCCAAUUACUUUAGUAAUAGAAUUACUAAUGAUAGAGAAUAUGAAAUGGGUUUGUUUCAAACAUUUUAAAAAUAAAAUUUGUAUCAAAGUCAUUAUAAAAGAAUAAGGCUUUUUUUUCUUUCUGAAAAACACUAGGCAGUCUUGAAAAAGAACCAAAUAGAUCUCUUAGAAUGGAAUUUUCAUCUUUGUAUUAAGAAUGUAAUUUAAGGAGUUCCCAUCGUGGCUAAGUGGAAAUGAAUCUGACUAGGAUCCAUGAGGAUGCAGGUUCGAUCCCUGGCCUUGCUCAGUGGGUUAAGGAUCCAAUGUUGCCAUGAGCUGUGGUGUAGAUUGCAGAUGCAGCUCGGAUCUGGCGUUGCUGUGGCUCUGGUGUAGGACAGCAGGUACAGCUCCGAUUUGACCCCUAGCCUGGGAUCUUUCCUAUGCCACAGGUGUGGCCCUAAAAAGACAAAAAUAAAUAAAUAAAUUAGGGCUUAGCUAUUAGAUUAGAUGUACUCAAACAAGAACUAAACUGUUUAAAAAUCUGAAGAAAUUACUUAAGAUGCAGUGUAUAAAGACAAAAGAUUAAGAAAAAUAGGAAAGAAACUUAAAAUAUGUAGGAUGCUGUGGCCCUUUGACAAAGGACCACGGAUUUGUUGAUGCUACUCCUAUCUUGAAGUGGAGUCUCCAGCUUUGAAAAUGGGCAGGUCUGUGACUGUUUGAACCAAGAGUGUGGCAUAAAUCAUAUUAUGUCAUCUCAGAGGUUAAGUUAGAAAAGGCUGUAUGUCUUCCACCUUGUUUGCUGAAAUAAUUAUUCUUGGAACCCUGAGCUGACAGGAAAGAAAUCCAGCUACCCUGUGGCUCUGAUGUCUUGAGGAAUCCUUAACCGUAUGGAGAGCCCAGUCCCAGCUCUCUGGGUCCCUCUUCGCUGUUUGAGUUUUCCCAGUGGAGGUGCCAGCCAUCCUGAAGCAAACACAGACCACCUCUGCUCUGCCCUGUGAAUGGCUCAACCCCAGAAUGCUUGUUGUUACUAAGUUUUGGAGUGGUUUCUCACACGUCAGUAGGUAAGUGCAACAGACAAGAUGAGAAGUUCUGACAUCCCCCGAAAGACGUUUCCAAAGAAGAUAAUAGAAAGACUGGGAAAGAGGCCACAUCUAAGGAAAUAGAAGUUGAGAAAUUUCCGGAAGUGAUAAACAUGUAUCUUUGGAUCCCAGAAGUGUAAUGAAUUGUAGGCAGGCAAGGUAGACGAAACUCAUGCCUUAAUGCAGCAGAAUUAAACUGGAGAGCACUAAAGUCCAGGAUAUUAAAAGCAGACAGAAAGGGUAGAUUACUUGCAAGUGGAGUACAACUACGUUAGUUGGCUUAGCAAAAAACUAGACACAUCUCAGUCAUUCAUUGGUGGUGGAAGGAUUGAUAAAUUCCUCAAUAUGUUACAGCAAUAAAAAGCUUCCUAUAGUACCCAGCAGGUGAAAAGUCAUUGAAUGGCAGCUUCGUAUAUCAAGGUGACUCAAUCUCCCAAAUAUAACAUGUGGUAAAGAAUAUGGUGUGAUGGCAUUUAUAUAAAGUCUAAAAAUAGGAGCAACUGCACAUAUGGAUAUGUGCCUGUGCUCUUUAGCAAUCCGUACAUGUGCAAAAUAUAAAGACUUACUUUGAAUGACAGACGUUGAAGUCUGUUGUUCUGGGAGUGGGAGUGAAGACGGAAGAGGAAUGUAGUCAUGCCCAGCACUUAAUUCUGUGACAUUUGCUUUCUCCAGCGGGGUAGCAACCACAUGAGUAUUUAUUAUGCUUUACCCUCAUUUGUUUGCUUGAAUACUUUACAAUAAAAAUUUGACCAACAACGUGAAGAUUUAACGACGAGUAGUCAUAGGACGCAGUGUGACAUCUCCUUUAAGGAAGUACAUACUUAGUCUGAAAGGAUUUGCAGGAUAGAGGUGAAGUAAAUCCUGUCUACGUUUUGGUUUCAGUGGAUAUUUGAACUCAUAGGAAAAAGAUCAAAGCAGAUGUGGCAUAAAAUCCGUUCUACUUGAUUGAGAGAUUUUGAGCCUUGGUGGAUGUAGGGGAGGGGAGAAGGAAGUGAAAUCAGAGAAUAGAGAACAGUAUGGCUGAGGACUUGCAAUUGUUAGAAAUGAGACAUGUCGGCUGAUAAUGAGCAAGGUGCAAUUGGAACUUUUACAUCAUUAGAGGUGCCAUUGAAACACCUUUAUGUUCAUAAAUUCUCCUGGUCUUCUGAAUAUCUUUAGUAAUAAAUAAUCUGCUACAUUUUGUUGAAGAUGACUGUGUUUCAUUUCUCUCACACCUGGCAGUCACUGCGAUUUGUCAGCAAUAAAUGCAGUCUUGUGAGUGAGUGUUAUCAGGAGAGAAAGGGGAUGUGUAUGGGGCUGGGAAGGAGAGCCUGGGAAGAGAUAGGUGGGAAGUGAACAAGUUACUGAUUAUAAAAUCGCUAAGAAUACUGGAUGUGAGGCUACCCUACCAUCUUUAUUCUCUCUCCAAUGGUAAUCUGGUCAAAUGGAUAAGAGCAGGUUACGGAGGUGAAAGCUUAGAGAUUUACCUCAGUUUUAAUAGCCUUUGGCAAAACUUGAGCUCAGUCUUCUAAUUGGAUCUUUUGGAGGGAGUUCCUGUUGCUGCUCAGUGGAAAUGAGCCCAACUAGUAUCCAUGAGGACGCAGGUUCGAUCCCUGGCCUUGCUCAGUGAGUCUGGUGUUGCCCUGAGCUGUGGUGUAGGUCGCAGACGUGGCUCUGAUCCUGUGUUGAUGUGGCUGUGUCGUAGGCCAGCAGCUGCAGCUCUGAUUCGACCCCCAGUCUGGGAACUUCCAUAUGCUGCACCUGCAGCUCUAAAAAGAAAGGAAGAAAAAAAAAAAAGGGCAGGGGAAACAGGAAUGACAGUAAACGUUGCAAAGCUGAGUAAGAAAGAGACAGCAGAACAUGAGUGAUGGCUGGCCCACCGAUGCUGUCUCCUAGUAGAUGAUUCAACUAACUUUCAUGAUUGCUUUUUCCUCCUGGUAGUUUUAUUUCCUCACAAUUUAGGUUCUUUUAAAAAUUCAGCUUACACAUCCUGCUACAUAGCACUGGGAACUAUAUCUAGUCACUCAUGAUGGAGCAGGAUAAUGUGAGCAAAAGGAAUGUUUCCAUGUAUGUGUGACUGGGUCAUCUUGCUGUACAGCAGGAAAUUGGCAGAACACUGUAAACCACCUAUAAUGGAAAAAAAUAAAAAUCAUAAAAUUAAAAAAUUCAACUUACAUAUCAUAACGUUUCCACUGUUUCUCUACAUCAUAAUCCUUUCGUUGUCCCCCCCACCACCAACUACCUUAUUUCAAUGUCAGCUUACUGACUGUAAGAAUGUGCUCUUGGCUUUGAAUUAGCUGCCAUUGGAUAAGAUGUUUCCCCUUUGUCCAGUUAGCUCUAGCUUGGUAGGAUGGACUCACACAGUGAAACAAGGUCUCUAGACUGACCCCAUCAACAAGCACCUUAGGUGGAUCAGAUAACACUCAGUGACUGUGGCAGAGAAUAAAUUGAUGUAAUUUGUACGUCUAGUCAUGUACGGGCCCAGACUGUGAUUUCCAUAUAAUCAUCUAGGACAAACUGAGACUUGAAUGGGCUCCUAUGUUUUUGAUAAGUCUCUAGGCAAAGAAUAUUUAUGCUUUGUAAUAUUACUAAGUUUAGCAAUUGGAUUUCUCUACUGUCCUUAUAUACCCUCUACGUUGAGUUUUAAGUUUCUGUAUUGGCGUUUGCCCCUCUCUCUGUUGGCUCCUUAGCUCCUUCCCUCCUCACCCCUCAGGACCUAUUAGUGUAAGUACUAACUUUUCUCUAAACUGGAUAAAUUUUUCAGUCUGACCUUAAAAUGUAUUCAAGAAGUUGCUCAUUAUCUUAGCUUAACUAGCUAUUAAUCAGUUGCCAUGAAAUGUGCCUGAAAGAAAAGAGCCUGUUGGGUAAGGGUAUUUAUUCACAUGAAUAUUUCAAUUAAAUCUUAAAAUACUUGCGUAUGCAUCUAGCAAAUGGUGUGCACAGACAUAUGUAAAUUCCUUUAAGCAGCCUUAAAGAAUAUCUGUAUUUGCCUUAAAUCGCUCUUUAAAUAGCUGGUCCAGAGUAGAACUAUUUAGCAUCACUUUACAUGCCACUGAACUCAGAGUCAGAAUCAUGACUUAGACACCCUGUAAUGCAAAUGGCAAUGCCUGGAGUUCAUUGCAUAAUUUUGUAGGGAUCUUCACCAAAACCGGGGAAAAGGUAGUAUUUUUUAUAGCAUGAUUAACUCUGAAAAAGAUAGCCUUUUUGUGAAGCCAGCUAAAGAUGGAAUUCUGUUUGUAGGCACACAGUGUAUAGAAUGGGCAUUAUAUAGUCUGUACAUUUCCACAUGUGUUUUUCCUGUGAUCGGUGUCCAUGGGUAAUUAAACAGAAGUCUUCCGCAAAAAUGGAAAUAUGUAUUGAAAAAGUGGCAGCAAUAAAACCAUAUCUUGCAGCUUUUCACUUUGAGUCCCAGUGGAUUAGUGAUUUCACUUUACACUGGAAAUGGCAGUAGAGUGGUGAUUAUUGCUCUUUUGGGACUGAUAAGAAAAGACAUGGUGCCCAAUUUUAUUAGUCAUUAGUAUUCUCUGUUAUAGAGGGUAUGGGAAGCUCUGGAACUAAAAGAACAUGCUCUGAACUUAUUUUUUUAAACAAGUAAAUGGUCUUUCAGUAUCAGUAAAAAUAUAGUUUGUCUGCUUUAGAAAAAUAAAAGCUUUCCAUGUAAUUUAGCUUGUCUGUCAUUUUAAACAUCUCAGAAGACCUAUCCCUAUGGUCCAGACCCAUUUCUCUUUGUCAGGAGAUGCUUCAUUGGUUUCUGUGUGAAAGUUUUGACAUUUUUAUUACACUCUGAAUACUCGAGAAACCAAAGGAUGCCAAUGGUGUCUCUCCUCCAUGCCUCGAGCAUCUGCAGUCUUCUGUCUAUGCCCCGAACUUGUGCAGAGGUCCUCUUUCCAUAUGUAUAUUCUGUUAUAUUGCUAUUGAUCCAAAUCAUUUCUUCUGUAUGCAACCCAGUACCUCUCAUCUCCAGAUUCAUUGCUAUGGGUCAAAUAGUUUGGAAAAGAAAUCCAGUCUCGAAAACUAUGUUUCAGUCUCUAAGUAAAAGAGCCAGUACCUCCAGUAACCUCUUGAUAAAGAGUGGCCGUGACCAUGCUGAAAUACUUUCUCUGAUCCAUUGAAGCUGCCUUCUUUAGUGUUCAGCAGUUCCUCUCGCAUCUCUAUUCUAGCACUUAGAAAUGACAGAAAACUGGGCAGUCUCGUGGUCUAGUCUUAAUAUACCAGUUUAACCAUGACAGCUAUGAAUUAAUAAAGAUCUUGACUACCAGUUUUCUUGACGAGAAGAAAAAUCACUUUUCAAAAUUCAUCUUGCAGAGUUCCCAUCGUGGCUCAGCAGUAAGAACCCAACUAGUAUCCAUGGGGACACGGGUUCAAUCCCUGGCCUCUAUCAGUGCGUUAAGGAUCUGGUGUUGCCAUGAGUCAUGGAAUAGGUCACUGAUGCCACUCGGAUCUCACAUGGCUGCAGCUGUGGCUGUGGCAUAGACCAGCAGCUGUAGCUCCGAUUCCACCCCUAGCCUGAAAUCUUCCAUAUGCCUCGGGUGCAGCCCUAGAAGGACACCCCCCCCAAAAAAAAAAAAUCAUCUUGCAGCAAAACUUUGUACAGACCCUCUUCAGGUAGCUUUUCUAAACCCCACACCUAUGAGCCACAACAGCUGCUAAACAUGUGUCCAGAGGCCCCAUCUCGCUGUUUUUUCCUUGUUACACUCUUCCUCCCCUCGCUGCUGAUGCUGACUCUGCUUCCUGGGACACGGGCCUUUCUCUGCUGGAGGCCUUUUCUUGAAGCACUUCUGCUAAAUCAAGUAACUCGGUCUCUGAACAAAUACAUUUGUUUAUAGUCUUUCCUUUUAUACUGACUUGUCAAGACACAAGUAUGUAAGCCGAACUUAACAAUAUAUGAGAAAUAGGAAGCUAAAGAAAAUCGUGGCUCGGAAGUUCAGACAGAACCAGACUUGGUGUUGGUCCAUGUCUCAGGUGGACUGAGGUGGGUGUUUUGAGCUUUCCAGUGGUCGGUGUAGACCUGCACAUGUAUCUCUCAUGUGAAUCCUUGUGUCACAUGCAACACGUGCUAUAACAUAGCUGUGCUCUAACCACACCGGCCUCCUUUCAGUUUCUCAAACAUGCCAAGCCCUUCCCCACCACAGGAAGGUUUCCAGCUUCACUGUCACCUGCCCAGGGACCCUUUGCUUGACUUGUUUAUCGUCUGUCUCUCCCCAUUACGUUCCGAAGCUACUUGAAGACCUGGGACCACGUGACCCUCAAAAGUUGAGCCUCCUCCCAACUAACCUAUCGGCUUAGAGAAGACUUACUGUCAUUUUGCAGUGGCUGGGACACAACCAAGACACUAGCAGCUUAAGUAAGUCUGGGUUGGUAAUUGCUGUUACUGACAGCAACUUUUCUGGGCUUCAUCAUCAGUGAUGCCAUUAAGUUGUCUCAGCGUUUUAAAAGUUGACCAUGCGGUUCUCGAGGCAUCUGUAUUACACUUAUCUCAACAGUUAUGUUGCGUGUGUAUCAAAUCCUAUCAUGGUAAAAAAUAAAAGCCAAAGGACCAUCCAGAUUGGUUUAUUACCCUGAAGUGUGGCUGUAUGAGGGAUUGCUUGAAAUGCUAUUGUCCUAAAGGAAAAUUAACACAGAAAUAUGGGUCACAUAUUCUCCACAUUUGUAUUGUUUCUCAGGAAGCUGAAGAACAGAAUGUGCCAUUAAUCAAGGAGCAUUUAAAGCAUGACAUUCUAGAUGUAAAAUAAAUGGAUAUUCCCUCUUAAAUUUUGGUCUCUCUUCUAUAUAAUCUUUCAGGUUUUGUUGUUGUUGUUGUUGACUUUGAAGUAACAUAAUCUGUGGGUUUCUUGAAAAUAGCUGCUUUAGAGCAGUGCAUUAAUCCCACUCUCCUUCUCGCUGUGUUUCUGUUGUUACAUUUAUCACAAUUUUAUUUUCAUUUAUCAGUUUACAUGUCAACCUCCCUUAUUAAACUCUGAAGGCAAAAAUUCUCAUAUGUCAACGUCCUAUGCCUGGGACAUUAUUAGUUUAGUUUUCAGAGAUUCUUUUUAAAUGAUACCACAAAUGGCUCCAUCAGUCAUUUGCAGUGUAUUUCUUUAACAGACAUUAUUGGGAACCAACUUUGUGCUAGGACUGUUAUCUGCUGGAAGGAAAUUUGUUAUAAACAUAAGCCUGCAGUUGAGAAUUACCUCAACUCCAAUGAGAAUUACUUAUGGGGAGUUCCCACUGUGGCACAGUGGGUUAAAAAUCCAACUGCAGCAGCUUGGAUUGCUGAGGAGGUACAGGCUUGGCAUAGCUUGCAGCAGUGGCUCAGAGUCAGUCCGUGGCCUGGGCACCUUCCGUAUGCUGCAGGUGUG
Molecule: long non-coding RNA, 7996 nt
Filed under: Sus scrofa (pig)
Lineage: Eukaryota; Metazoa; Chordata; Mammalia; Artiodactyla; Suidae
Description: lncRNA (ENSSSCG00045038816.1)
Source: RNAcentral